CGCACUUGCCCGCACGAGUCGCCGCCUUCAUUCGUUCCUACGUCGCUCAAUCCCCUCGCAGCCGCCGCCGAUCCCCUCCCCCAUCUCCCUCCCUCAAACGCCGCCGCCCGUCGCUGCCGCCCCCGCCACCUCCAGCCGCGGCCGCCGCGCCCAGCUCCAGCCGCGGCCGUUGCGCCCACCUCCAGCUCGACUCCACGAUCCCCUUCCUAUCGAUCGCCCACGCCCCCACCGCUUCGCAUCUGAUCGCCACCAGCGCCCGCCGGCCGCCAUGCAGUCCUCCGCGCCGGACCUUUGCGUUGCGUUCCUCCGCGCGAGGCCGCCGCCGCUGCAGCAGCUCUCUCGGAUCCAACACGAAGCUUGCGACGAAGGGCUUGGAGUUGGCCGUGAGUGCUCGAGGUGAAGUGGCGGCAUGCGUUUCUGUAGGGGGGGAGGGGCGCACAUUAGGGAAGUCAGCGGCCGGAUCCGAGCGCGGAUGAGGCGAGGUUGCCACUUGGGGCCCAUGUCGGUCAGAUCCAGGCAACACAUGGGAGUCGGCGUGGCGGCAGCGUAGUGCCGAGGCAGGAAGGAGGCACGGGACGACACAUCGGCGGGUCGUGGUGCACUGCACGAGAUGAGUGACAUGAUGUAAACAACGCUGUACGCAUUGAUGCCACACAUGCGUCAUUUUCUACUGCCGAUACUGAUUCUUGAGGGCUACUGGCACUGCCGCCGGGUAUGAGCAGGAACUGCCUCCAUUGAGAACUCUGGGUACUGCCGCUGCCGACGACCAUCGAGCACCGAGUUGGAACUGCCACCAUCAAGGAUGACAGGCCGCCAUUGAGGUUGAUUGUUUUGGCCGCGCCUUCCCACUACCAGUCUGCACCAUCACUGUUGUAUUCUGAGCAGCCGGAGAACCCCUACGGUUGCAAGAUUCCUGUAACUUGUAUUUGAGAUGCAUGUCCUAAUCGUCUUGGUUGUGGUCAGGUGUGGUAUGUAGGAAUCCGUCAGAAGAAUGUGACACAUAAUAAUAGUUUCAUCAUCUCAUCUUCAUGCUACUUCCAGUUAAGUGCUAGAAAAAUAAAUGCCCGAGACAUGUUUUAAGGAAUUCAAAGACGAGUUCCCUUUGAAGAGCAAGCAAUCAUAGUACGGAGCAAGAUGAUUCGAAAUAGAGGGCUCUGUACUGCAGGACAACAUAUUCACUAUCAAUAUAUGGUCUAUUUCCAAUAUAAGGUGUAUGUCAAGUUAUACACUGACUACAGAAAGUGAGUGUGAGUGGUGAUGCUCGACGACGAACAUCUGCUCGAGGACACCCUGCUCGACGAUGCUCCUCUUCGCUAGCAUCUCCAUUGCAUGAUAGGGGGAGAGUUCUUGUACUCAGAGCAGCUGUUGAUCUGCAGCAACUCUAGAAGUAGGAUUUAGGAUAAUCAUAGUUCCAGUUUGCCAAGCAGGGAGUAUAAUUUAACUGGAAAUCAACCAACUAUUGCUUUGAACUGGAGUAUAAUUACCGAAGCGGGUCGAAGUGGGACGAUGUGGUUCGGUGGUCAACGGCGGCUGCGCAGGAUGCAGUAUGGUAUGGCUUGAGCAUCUCGAGGAGGGGCUCUCUCCGCAAGGCAUCCUCUACGCCACGGCGGAGGUGUUCGGGUAGUCUGUCCCGGGGCUGCGCGUGGAGCACAUCGACGUCUCCGUCUUGCCAUUGCUCAGCACCGCCCUGCCGGCUGGGGUUCUUAUUUGCCACCGAGGCCUUCCGCAACUGGGACCAUGGUGCCUGAUAGCUUCCUCUCCGGCUGGAUCGGCAGUCUAUCCACCCAGUAAAUUUUUUCUCUUCUCUUAAAUUUCUAUGUUUCUUUGUCUGAUUCUCAAUAAAGAGCUCAAACUCGAGAUGAGUUUUUGGUUAUGACCUGGCCUAUUUUGUUGAUCUGCCGCUGGUGGAGGGCAACUCCUCCUUGUCCCCCUCCACCUCGAGAACGAAGGCAUCCCAGUCAUCCUCUUUGCCGGAUCUGUCACCUCUGGCAUCGUCGAUGUCGACAUUGGGACAGAGAGGGGGAGGGGAAUGGACGUGGAGUGGAGGUGAAUCGAUGGAGUGCGGAUUGAAAGUGAAGUGGACUUAGGGUUUGCUUCGGGUGGGGAUUUUAGUGGGGACAAAGUGGGGUCGACGCGGGCUAGCAUGGGCCAGGCUAAUGUGGCGGACGCGGCCUUUCUAUAUCUGCCCCAGAUUUUGGUUAGAUAUGAUGGGUGCGUGACAACCCAUGCCUAUAUGGUUGUUAUGAGUCAUCGGUCUGCGUCGGUUUUUCUGACCGGUUAGUGACUGGGCCUUUCGACCGGGCGUAUAGGGGUGGUUUUUGGUGCUCGGAUGUAGAUGCUCUCUAUUGUGGCGUAGUGAAGGUCGUUGGAUCGACGGGUGAAGAAAAAGACAAACAUUUGGAGGAAGACCAGCGACAAUCGAGCUCGACUAAAACACACAUUUCUUUUUAGUUAAUUGCAAAGGCACUCCCUUCAAAUUUCCAUGCAUUGUGACCAUACGAAUAUAUUUUACUUCUAUUAUCACUAAAUUCAAAAUAAUAUUAAUUUAGGAAAUUACCGAGAUUUGUCUGGCUAUUAUUUCUAUAUGCUCUGGUGGAAUGGUAAAGAAUUACUUCAUCCGGUUUGUAUGAUGGGUAUUCUCUGUUAGACAUUUUAAUCCCUUUGAUGUGAAGUAUUUUUGCUAACUGCAUAUAUUGCUUGUGCAUAAUGGGUACGAGUUCAGGUCCUUCAGGAAGAUGUUUUUAUUAUACUUGCUCGAAUUUCAUGCCAGUGAAGAUAAAAACAAAAUUUCUGAUAUUGUGCGAGAUUUCUUAAGUGCAUAAAAUAGUAGAUCUUAAUUUGUAACAAUUUUUUAGAAGGUCAAAUUUCCUUUUUGCUAUCAAUUAACAUUGCAAGUGAAGUGGAUUUAAAUUGUUACUCGAUUGGGCCCAUGAUAUCUAUUCUCUACACGUGAAAUUUAACAUGCUUUAUAUUUACAUAGCUCCAGCAAAAUAUUUCAAAAGCCCAUGGCAACGCAUGGGCAUUCUACUAUAAUAACAGAGGAUGGUGCUUGCAGUUGUUGUGGGUGCUGAUGGUUCACUGUCUUGGUUUCUUGGAAUGGUGAUUCAAGAAGGGACACCAUCGUGUGGAUGGACCAUAGGGCUCUUGACCAAGUCGAGUGAAUUAAUUCUCACAGUUCACCGGUAUUGCAAUUUUAUGGUGGGAGUGUCUCCCCAGAAUACAGAUAAAUAGUUUUGAAUUAUUUCGUAAGAUCAGUAGACAACAUUUGCUGUGUAUUUUAUAGUUACCGGCGUUGAUUGUAUCGUAUUGAUUUACCUUUUAAAACAUUUAUGGGUAAAUGAAAAUCUACAAAAAUCUUGGUUUAGUUAUAUAGGUGAGUUUCAACUCACAACCUCUCUAAGCCUGUAAUAAGCUAUGAGCUGAAUUUCUAACAAGUUUACUUUCUAACAGCUAAAUUAACUACAGCCCAAAGGCAGCAGCCUGUUACUAUUUUAUAUCAUUUGUUGUUGAUUUGUUUUUUUCAGAAUUGCAUUGGCAAAUCAUGAAAGGUGUAAUGUUCACGGAUUUUUGUUAGAUGAUCUGUUGGUCCGGUUUAAUUUUAGCGGGCAUGAGGCAUCUGGGAAACAUGUUUCAAGGGCCUUGUUUGUCGAUCUGGAGCCCACUGUUAGUAGAUUAUGGCAGUAAAUCAUAAUAGGUCAUGUUGUUGGACGAGGGCGGGCUGGCGGAGGGCGUGUCGGCGGACGACGUGGAGGUCGUGUUCGGCUCCAUCGGUCGCAUCGCCGGCAUCGAGUUCGUGCGCACCAGCGGCCCUAGCUUCGCCUACAUCGGCUUCCACUGCCCCUCCCACAAGGUCAUGACCAAGUUCUCCACCUUGUUGUGGGUGCUGAUGGUUCCCCUGUCUUGGUUUCUUGGAAUGGCGAUUCAAGAAGGGGCAUCAUCGUGUGGAUGGACCAUAGGGCUCUUGACCAAGUCGAGUGAAUUAAUUCUCACAGUUCACCGGUAUUGCAAUUUUAUGGUGGGAGUGUCUCCCUAGAAUACAGAUAAAUAGUUUUGAAUUAUUUCGUAAGAUCGGUAGACAACAUUUGCUGUGUAUUUUACAGUUACCGGCGUUGAUUGUAUCGUAUUGAUUUACCUUUUAAAACAUUUAUGGGUAAAGGAAAAUCUACAAAAAUCUUGGUUUAUGUUAUAUAGGGAAACUGGUGAUGAAACCCGCAGCUUAUCACACAUGAGCACCGGAGGGAGUUAAAAUCGUGUGGUAUGGAACCAUGUGGAAGGGGUGAAGUCUUUUGGGCAGAAAGUUUGGGAGACCUUUAUGAAGAGAGCUACGCAAAAACAGGAGUUAGGCUUGCUUCCCGGGACUCUUGUUGGGACUUCACUUAUGAUGCUUAUGCCGGGUGUCUUGGAGUCAUGGAAAGUGUGCCAAAUGCAGAGUUUAAAGUUGAAACGAUGAUACCUGAGUUUUGGCUCAAGGAAUGUGGCCAAAGUGCAACCGGCGCUUUACUUGAUUACAUUGCUCAAAACCAUAUUGCGGCUCCCUUUUCUUGCUAAUCAAGCUGCUUUUGAAAAUAAUUAUGGUGAUGUUGUCCAUAGGAUUUCUUGUGCUUCAAAUUUUGUUGAUCGAAAGCGGAGUAAGGAGCCCAUCUUUCAUGGAAUCAUCUACAACGAUGCACGACUGGAUCGAAUUGAAGAGCAAAUAUAUUUUGGCGAGGAAGGACAAAUAUUGAUUAGGUUUCAUUUUAAUUAGGCUUCAUCUUUGUUGCAGUCAGUUGAUUUCAGAAAGUAUUACAUUCAGAUUACUUGAAGAUAGACAAAAGCCUGAAUUCUUAUUAGCUGGUGGUUGAGCCAUACAAACGUUGUUCUAAUUUCUACAAGGCAAGUCGAGAUUGACUUUAAAAACUAAGGAUUAUGCAGCCAUAAUCUGACAUUAAAUUAAUUGAAUUAGAGAAUUGGAGGCUGGAAAAGUCGGUUGCACAGGGCAAAAAAGAAACAGAAUUGGCUCAUAGGGGAAAUAUGAUGGGCGAGCAGGUGUGUUGGGCACUCGUCAAUGCGAGGCGUCACUAAUCAACAUACUAACACCCUGCUUUAGACUUGGCGUAUCCAACUAGAUGUGCAUGCUUAGCAACCUCAAAGAGUCUGUUGGAGACACAUUUGUGCAUACCGGCGAUGGCUCAUGCGUCCUUUCACUUAAUUAGAAUUUUCUUCUUAAUGAUACGACUGCUGUUAGUUAUUUUCGGAUUCGAAUUUAAUCUGUGUGGA
Long non-coding RNA from Triticum aestivum (bread wheat), 5256 nucleotides. RefSeq lists it as uncharacterized. Lineage: Eukaryota; Viridiplantae; Streptophyta; Magnoliopsida; Poales; Poaceae. The record is from RefSeq and is a predicted model, not a curated record. The transcript has 13 exons.